Molecule: ribosomal RNA, 442 nt
Filed under: uncultured eukaryote
Lineage: Eukaryota
Description: bacterial SSU rRNA
Rfam family: Eukaryotic small subunit ribosomal RNA
Source: RNAcentral
CGGUAAUUCCAGCUCCAAUAGCGUAUAUUAAAGUUGUUGCUGUUAAAAAGCUCGUAGUUGAACUUCUGACAGCGAGCAGGUUUGGCUUUGGCCAGCCUGUUCGUUGUCAUCCGUCUGCAAACCUUGUACGUCCUUCAGUGGUUCGGCAAGGGGAGUAGACAAUUUACUUUGAAAAAAUUAGAGUGUUCAAAGCAGGUAUUAGCCUGAAUACUUUAGCAUGGAAUAAUGGAAUACGACUCUUGUCUAUUUAUGUUGGUUAUUAGACUUGAGUAAUGAUUAAUAGGGACAGUUGAAGGCAUUAGUACUUAAUUGUCAGAGGUGAAAUUCAUGGAUUUAUUAAAGACUAACUAAUGCGAAAGCAUUUGCCAAGGAUGUUUUCAUUAAUCAAGAACGAAAGUUCGAGGAUAGACAGCGAUCAGACACCACUUUAUUUCGAACUAUA